RNAcentral lists this unclassified non-coding RNA (2084 nucleotides) under Hevea brasiliensis (rubber tree). The record is from RNAcentral. Lineage: Eukaryota; Viridiplantae; Streptophyta; Magnoliopsida; Malpighiales; Euphorbiaceae.
CUUUUUAGACGUGGAGAAGGGAUGGGGGUACCAUUUGAAAAGUGACCUUUCGAAAAUAAAUUAUUAGCAAUGAAUUGACUUUGCAGGUUUAGUGGAAUUACAUGUGAGAUGCUGAAUGAUGUAACUACAAGUCUUAAAGAUGUUCAGGAAGAGUUUCUAAAGCUGGUUUACGAAGAGACCAUCUUGAUUGGCCAUUCGCUGGAGAAUGAUUUGUUAGCUCUGAAGAUCUCUCAUAACUUGGUGAUUGAUACCGCAUUGUUAUACAAGCAUCCCCGAGGUGGUUCUUAUAAAACUGCUCUUCGAAUUCUUGCCAAAAAAUUUCUUUCUAGAGAGAUACAGCAGUCUGGGGCUGGACAUGACAGUAUUGAAGAUGCAAGAGCAGCUAUGGAACUGGCAUUGUUAAAGAUAAAAAAUGGACCUGAUUUUGGUGCUCCGCCAUCAUUUAUACGGACAAAGCUUCUUACUGUUUUGAGUGAAUGUGGUAAAGCAUCCUCUGUCAUUGAUGAUGUUUCCAUAGUGAAGAGGUAUGCUUCUUCAUCAUCCCAUGCAUUUCCUGUGAACUCUGAUGAUGAAGCGCUUUCAAGAGCCAUUAAGGAGGUGAAGAAUGAACGAGUACACUUUGUCUGGACCCAGUUUUCAGAGUUGAAUUCCUACUUCAAGAAGCAAGCGGAGGAUGAAGGGAAGCUAAAUGCAAAAAUUGCAGAGAUGAUAUCAUUGCUUACGUGUCAAGAGAAGUCUGUCAACAGUAAAGGCACCAAAUGCAUUAUAACAUCUGAUCUAAAGGAAAUUCUAACUAGCAUGGAUGCUAGGGUCCGAUCCCUAUACUCUUCAUUGCCAACUAAUACAAUGCUCAUAAUUUGCACUGGACAUGGGGAUACAGCAGUUGUCCUAAGGUGUGUGUUUGCUAUGUAGGUUAGAAAUUUCAUUUUCUAUGGUGUGCUUUGUCUCCUUUCAAUAUUAUUUAAAAACUGAGCUUUAGAGUUUGAAACCAUGUAAAUGAAAUGAGCCAAGCAAUUAGAAUGUUUCAGAUGGUAAUUUUUCUCAAAUUUUGAUCAUGCAUAUUGGGGUUUUUUAAUUUAAUUGUUAGAAAGAUUUUAACAUGAAGGGCAGCUUUCUUUUCCAAACUCUUGCAGUGGAUAUAACUUGGGAAUGAGAACUUUGUUCCGCAUUACUCAAUAAGUUUCAUUGUUAAGGAACACACAAGACAUUUAGUUUCUCUCAAUUAUGUAUAUUGUUUCUGGGCUUAACGCAAUAUAAACCUCUUUCUAAAUUUAGGCUAUGCUUGGGUUAUAGGAAAGUGUAUGUUGAUGUAUCCACAUCUUGUUUUUGAAUACAAGGUUGGAUGCACCUGUAAAUGAUAUCUUUAGUUGUUCAAAAUGAUGGACGUUUAUAUUUCCUGAAAUUACUUCCUCAUUUUGAAGAACCACCAUCAAUGCUUUGGCUGGUUUUGCAUCCCACAUUUAAGUUAUCAUAAUGUCUACGCGUACUGUUUUGCAAUUGAAGUUCUUGUAUUCAGUGCCUUUCAAUUACUGGAAGAAGCUUAACAAACCUGAUUACUCUAUGCCUCAUCUGAAACAAAGUUGCAUUUCACACCCCAUUUCUAAAUAUUCACAAUUAAUGCCUGAAAGUUUAUCAGAACCUGACAUCAAUGUGAACCAUAUGGAUCUGAUUAGUGCAUGCCAAAAGUGUACUGUUCUAUUUACAUCCUUGCGUAUUAAAUGAACUCUUAAUUAAUAUUCGUGUUGUUUAUCUGUUUCUUUGAACAUGGAUGAAGAUUGAGGAAAUUGCUGAGAGAGAAGAAAGAAACCCCAAUAUGCCGGGAGAAGAUUGUAAAAGUCUUGGAAGAGCUUCAGGCCCAAGCUGAAGUAGCUUUGUGUUUUGUAGGUGUGAAGAACUGAAUAUGAACUAUAUAUAUAUAUAUUUGUCUGUGUUUUUUUAUAAUUAGAAUGUCAUUAGUGUUGAUUUAAGUACUGAUGUCCCAAAGUUUUGGUGUAAAACAUUCAUUCAUUGAAUGAUAAUGAAAUGGUGUGAAUUAAGGUUAUAAAGAAAUGAAAUUGCUAGCAGAAAGUUUUAUGUUGUCAAAA